This is a long non-coding RNA of Oreochromis niloticus (Nile tilapia), 498 nucleotides long. RefSeq annotates it as CD209 antigen-like protein E. The transcript is spliced from 5 exons. Lineage: Eukaryota; Metazoa; Chordata; Actinopteri; Cichliformes; Cichlidae. The record is from RefSeq and is a predicted model, not a curated record.
AUGGAGGAAAUUAAUGUCGAAUCUGCAAACAAGACGUCUAUUAAAAAACACACAGGUCCAAGGAGAUGCAAGAGAAGCAUUUAUUUAGUUGUUAUUCUCUCGUUGGGGCUGCUGGCUGGACUUCUCACUCGUGCUUUCUGCUGGAGUAACGAACUUUCUUCUAUGACUGAGGAGAGAGACCUGCUGAAGGCCAACCUCACUGAAAUGACCAAAGAGCUGGAGAGGCUGCAGCGUUUGUGCAACCAGAAGACAACAUGUCCUGCAGGAUGGCAAAAGUUCAGUUGUAGCUGUUAUCUCCUCUCUGAAAGAUCUGGUUCCUGGCAUUCAGCUAGAAAACACUGUACAGACCAAGGAGCAGAUUUGGUGGUCAUAGACAGCCCUAAUGAACAGAACUUCAUCGUUUCAAUUACCCAGUAUAAAACUUGGAUUGGUUUAAGUGACAUAGAACAAGAGGGAACGUGGAAAUGGGUAGAUGGAACGCCUCUGACUCUGAAGUAA